CAGAGAAGUUAACUGAGAGGACUCAUUACAUCUUGAGAGCCUUGCAGCCUCCAGCAGGUACAGCUGCAAACACUGAACUGAAGUGCUUUCUGGACAAGAUCACACCACAUGAACUGGCCAUUUGCAGGUUAUUUGGAUUAUGAGUCAUAACAUGUCCUGAAACAGUGGGAACUGCACCAGAUGUAGCAGAAGCUCUGCUAGACCACAGCAAGAAGCUCCUCAAGUACUGAGAUCCCUUGCAGAAACC
Long non-coding RNA from Hirundo rustica (Barn swallow), 247 nucleotides. RefSeq lists it as uncharacterized. NCBI's taxonomy places the organism in Eukaryota, Metazoa, Chordata, Aves, Passeriformes, Hirundinidae. The record is from RefSeq and is a predicted model, not a curated record. The transcript has 3 exons.